AUUUACGGCGGACGGGUGAGUAAUGCCUAGGAAUCUGCCUGGUAGUGGGGGAUAACGUUCCGAAAGGAACGCUAAUACCGCAUACGUCCUACGGGAGAAAGCAGGGGACCUUCGGGCCUUGCGCUAUCAGAUGAGCCUAGGUCGGAUUAGCUAGUUGGUGAGGUAAUGGCUCACCAAGGCGACGAUCCGUAACUGGUCUGAGAGGAUGAUCAGUCACACUGGAACUGAGACACGGUCCAGACUCCUACGGGAGGCAGCAGUGGGGAAUAUUGGACAAUGGGCGAAAGCCUGAUCCAGCCAUGCCGCGUGUGUGAAGAAGGUCUUCGGAUUGUAAAGCACUUUAAGUUGGGAGGAAGGGCAUUAACCUAAUACGUUAGUGUUUUGACGUUACCAACAGAAUAAGCACCGGCUAACUUCGUGCCAGCAGCCGCGGUAAUACGAAGGGUGCAAGCGUUAAUCGGAAUUACUGGGCGUAAAGCGCGCGUAGGUGGUUCGUUAAGUUGGAUGUGAAAUCCCCGGGCUCAACCUGGGAACUGCAUCCAAAACUGGC
Molecule: ribosomal RNA, 550 nt
Filed under: bacterium BaC1-19
Lineage: Bacteria
Description: bacterial SSU rRNA
Rfam family: Bacterial small subunit ribosomal RNA
Source: RNAcentral